RNAcentral lists this ribosomal RNA (440 nucleotides) under uncultured bacterium. Its description in RNAcentral is "partial 16S ribosomal RNA". It matches the Rfam family "Bacterial small subunit ribosomal RNA", at positions 338 to 795 of the family's 1533-position model. The record is from RNAcentral.
CCUACGGGUGGCAGCAGUGGGGAAUAUUGCACAAUGGGGGAAACCCUGAUGCAGCGACGCCGCGUGAGUGAAGAAGUAUUUCGGUAUGUAAAGCUCUAUCAGCAGGGAAGAAAAUGAGGGUACCUGAGUAAGAAACGCCGGCCAACUACGUGCCCGCAGCCGCGGGAUCACGUAGGGGGCACGCGGUAUCCGGAUUUUCUGGGUGUAAAGGGAGCGUAGACUGUGAUGCAAGUAAGAAGUGAAAGCCCGGGGUUCAAAUCCGGGAGUGCUUUUGAAACUGGGUGACUGGAGUGCAGGAGAGGUAAGCGGAAUUCCUGGUGUAGCGGUGAAAUGCGUAGAUAUCAGGAGGAACACCAGUGGCGAAGGCGGCUUACUGGACUGUAACUGACGUUGAGGCUCGAAAGCGUGGGGAGCAAACAGGAUUAGAUACCCCAGUAGUC